CUGUCUGAGAAGUACGGCCCAAUCUUCAGCAUCAAGCUUGGAACCAUGAAGGCUGUGGUCCUGACCGGCUAUGAGACUGUGAAGGAUGCUCUCAUCAACCAUCCCGAUGAGUUUGGAGGAAGAGGUCACAUACAAAUAUUUGAUGACUUAUCAAAGGAUCAUGAUGCUGCCUGACCUGCUGUGUGUUUCAAGCAUUCUCUGACUUAAUUCAGAUUUCCAGCAUCUGCAGUUUAUUUGAUUUUCUUUCAUAGGUGCCUUUCGAAGGGCCUAUUUCCUCCAUGACUAUGAUGAUUCUAAACCACUUUGUCUCCAAUAGCUGGGAUUUCAAACAUGAAUAGAAGAUCACCAUCUUGAAACAUAAGGUUGCCUUCAUCAUGCCUGGAUCUUCCCUUUUCUUUAAUUGUUGCAAAAGACCAUUAAGUGUGCAUAACAUGCAAACGCAAUUUAAAAUAGUGCUUCACUUGUCAACCAGCCUCAUGGGUAUGAGAAGGAUUUUUGAUUUCUGUACUUUGCUCUCAUGAUAUAGAAUAAAAUGUCUAAAA
Molecule: long non-coding RNA, 542 nt
Organism: Amblyraja radiata (thorny skate)
Lineage: Eukaryota; Metazoa; Chordata; Chondrichthyes; Rajiformes; Rajidae
Exons: 2
Source: RefSeq, a predicted model, not a curated record